GACGAACGCUGGCGGCGUGCUUAACACAUGCCAGUCGAACGGAAAGGCCCCUUUGGGGGUCCUCGAGUGGCGCACGGGUGAGUAACACGUGAGUAACCUGCCCUUGACUUCGGGAUAACUUCAGGAAACUGGGGCUAAUACCGGAUAGGAAUCCUUGCUGCAUGGUGGGGGUUGGAAAGCUUCGGCGGUUUUGGAUGGACUCGCGGCUUAUCAGCUUGUUGGUGGGGUAGUGGCUUACCAAGGCUUUGACGGGUAGCCGGCCUGAGAGGGCGACCGGCCACAUUGGGACUGAGAUACGGCCCAGACUCCUACGGGAGGCAGCAGUGGGGAAUAUUGCACAAUGGGCGGAAGCCUGAUGCAGCAACGCCGCGUGCGGGAUGACGGCCUUCGGGUUGUAAACCGCGUUCAGCAGGGGCGAAGCUUGUGGUGACGGUACCUGCAGAAGAAGCACCGGCUAACUACGUG
This 465-nucleotide ribosomal RNA is filed under the name uncultured bacterium. RNAcentral's name for it is "partial 16S ribosomal RNA". It matches the Rfam family "Bacterial small subunit ribosomal RNA", at positions 28 to 507 of the family's 1533-position model. The record is from RNAcentral.